AUUUCCAUUCUUUCUCUCCCAGAGAAUCUGCCCUUCUUUUAUGGUUAUAUUCAAUCGGGGCGAUGGGUUGACAGAUUCCGAGGAGUUCACAGGCAAUACAGUCCUUUUUUCUUUUAAUUUUUUUCUCAAGGCAGUAAUGGCAGUACACAUGACACCGGAGUCUGGUGUAUUGCCAAUCAAGACGUCCUUGUACUUUUAAAUGCUGAAGUGCGUACUGCAGCUGUACUCCAAAAUUCGUGGCUUUAGGAUGCCGAUAUAUACCAACCUUCUUGCUCUAUCUCUUCUCAACCAAAAACUACUUGGGCCUGGCCACAGAGAACGGUCUCUAUGGACUUUGAACGUGACCACCUUGAUAAUUUCGCAGUGUUGCUGGUCGUUGUGGGUUCCUCUUCAUAACCAUUCCACGUUUCGAGUUUUCGCAUUCCCCUGACCGAAAGAAAUCACCAAAUUUUUUUUAGCUUGUCAGAGCUUGCUGGCCCCAGUGGCGAAUGCCUUACUGUACUGUAUAUUAAUUGUAUAUUUGUGGCCCCCAACCGCUUCCCUUCUUCGUCUAUCGGAAAAAUCUUUUAGUUUU
Molecule: long non-coding RNA, 574 nt
Organism: Nymphaea colorata (pocket water lily)
Lineage: Eukaryota; Viridiplantae; Streptophyta; Magnoliopsida; Nymphaeales; Nymphaeaceae
Exons: 2
Source: RefSeq, a predicted model, not a curated record